This 343-nucleotide long non-coding RNA is filed under the name Citrus maxima (pomelo). Its description in RNAcentral is "long non-coding RNA (CMAX_LNC004172)". The record is from RNAcentral. Lineage: Eukaryota; Viridiplantae; Streptophyta; Magnoliopsida; Sapindales; Rutaceae.
CUCUCUCUUUGUUAGUUUCAUCCACAACUCGGUAUCUCAGCCGAGUCAACUCAGCCAAGCGCUCCACGAAGCAACGGCCUCGAUUCGUUCAAAAACUGGAGAUUGUUAUCCCUCAUGCCCACAUGGCAGCACCUCUGGACCUCCUCGACGCUCCAGAACGGACACGGGGCACCGGUUUCGGGGCGGGAGACGACCAGGAGGAUCUCCUCGAACGUGGACUCGUCACAGGGGAUAGUUAACGGGCCCACGUGGCUGAAACCGUACUCCUCUUCGGCUUGCACGAGGAGCUUCUUGAACACGGGGUGGUUCAGGUACGUCGCGCGCACGAUGAACCUCCUAGAGC